This 266-nucleotide non-coding RNA is filed under the name Clostridium cadaveris. RNAcentral describes it as "T-box sequence". It matches the Rfam family "T-box leader". Rfam says of the family: Uncharged tRNA acts as the effector for transcription antitermination of genes in the T-box leader family. The record is from RNAcentral. Lineage: Bacteria; Bacillati; Bacillota; Clostridia; Eubacteriales; Clostridiaceae.
AUAAAGACGAUGAAGAGAAAAGUAAGUACUAAAACUUUCACAGAGAGUCCUGAUUUGGUGAAACAGGAUAAAGAUAAUAACUACUGAAAAUGGUCUUGGAGUUGCAUAGUUGAAUUGAUAUUACCCUUCAUUUGGGAUAAUAUCUUUAAAUUAUGACGAGUUCGCCCGUUAAAGCGAUAGAGUAUGAUGGUACUCGAAGAGGUUAAUAUUGUGAGAUAUUGAUGAAUUAAGGUGGUAACACGAAGUUUACAGCUUUCGUCCUUUUG